RNAcentral lists this ribosomal RNA (478 nucleotides) under uncultured bacterium. RNAcentral's name for it is "partial 16S ribosomal RNA". It matches the Rfam family "Bacterial small subunit ribosomal RNA", at positions 28 to 523 of the family's 1533-position model. The record is from RNAcentral.
GACGAACGCUGGCGGCGUGCUUAACACAUGCAAGUCAAACGGUAAGGCCCUUCGGGGUACACGAGUGGCGAACGGGUGAGUAACACGUGGGUGAUCUGCCCUGCACUUCGGGAUAAGCCUGGGAAACUGGGUCUAAUACCGGAUAGGACCUUUGCCUGCAUGGGUGGGGGGGGAAAGCUUUUGCGGUGUGGGAUGGGCCCGCGGCCUAUCAGCUUGUUGGUGGGGUGAUGGCCUACCAAGGCGACGACGGGUAGCCGGCCUGAGAGGGGGACCGGCCACACUGGGACUGAGAUACGGCCCAGACUCCUACGGGAGGCAGCAGUGGGGAAUAUUGCACAAUGGGCGCAAGCCUGAUGCAGCGACGCCGCGUGAGGGAUGACGGCCUUCGGGUUGUAAACCUCUUUCAGCACCGACGAAGCGCAAGUGACGGUAGGUGCAGAAGAAGGACCGGCCAACUACGUGCCAGCCGCCGCCGUAA